RNAcentral lists this small nucleolar RNA (142 nucleotides) under Pelodiscus sinensis (Chinese soft-shelled turtle). Lineage: Eukaryota; Metazoa; Chordata; Testudines; Trionychidae. The record is from RNAcentral.
CAGCACUGCCUUUGAGCAGGUGCAAUGUCCCUCUGACAGCUUAGCUGGCUAAGCAGUGGUGUGCGAGGAAAAGCUUGUUUGUAACUGGUAGCUAGCUGCUUGCCUAAAACUUGAGUGGUGCUUUUAAGAGCGAUCUACAUGC